AAAUGCAGUCGAACGAGGUUAUGGGAGGAGCAAUCCGACCAUGACCUAGUGGCGGACGGGUGCGUAACGCGUGAACAAUCUGUCCUAGUGAGGGGGAUAACAUCUGGAAACAGAUGCUAAUACCGCAUAGGACCACGGUGUCNCAUGGCACUGGGGUGAAAGGAGAAAUCCGCACGAGGGUGAGUUCGCGUCCCAUUAGCUAGUUGGCGGGGUAGAGGCCCACCAAGGCGACGAUGGGUAGCCGAUCUGAGAGGAUGACCGGCCACACUGGAACUGAGAAACGGUCCAGACUCCUACGGGAGGCAGCAGUGGGGAAUAUUGGGCAAUGGGCGAAAGCCUGACCCAGCAACGCCGCGUGAGGGAAGAAGGCUUUCGGGUCGUAAACCUCUGUCGCAGGGGACGAGUAGAUGACGGUACCCUGUGAGGAAGCCCCGGCUAACUACGUGCCAGCAGCCGCGGUAAUACGUAGGGGGCGAGCGUUGUCCGGAAUGACUGGGCGUAAAGGGCGCGUAGGCGGCGCAAUAAGUUUGGAGUGAAAGUCCCGCUUUCAAGGUGGGAAUUGCUUUGAAAACUGUUGUGCUUGAGUGUGGGAGAGGAUAGCGGAAUUCCCGGUGUAGCGGUGAAAUGCGUAGAGAUCGGGAGGAACACCAGUGGCGAAGGCGGCUAUCUGGACCAAUACUGACGCUGAGGCGCGAAAGCGUGGGUAGCAAACAGGAUUAGAUACCCUGGUAGUNCCACGCUGUAAACGAUGGAUGCUAGGUGUAGGAGGUAUCGACCCCUUCUGUGCCCGAGUUAACACAAUAAGCCAUCCCGCCUGGGGAGUACGGCCCGCAAGGUUUGAAACUCAAAGGAAUUUGACNGGGGGCCCCCCACAAGCCAGCCGGAGCCAUGUGGUUUUAAUUNCCAAGCAACNCCGAAGAAACCUUNACCNGGGUUCNUUGAACUUCCAGGNUUAAAACCCGUAAAANAUACCGGCGGUGCCNUUCCGGGCAAUUCUGAAAA
Molecule: ribosomal RNA, 1002 nt
Filed under: uncultured bacterium
Lineage: Bacteria
Description: bacterial SSU rRNA
Rfam family: Bacterial small subunit ribosomal RNA
Source: RNAcentral